This 452-nucleotide ribosomal RNA is filed under the name uncultured organism. RNAcentral describes it as "partial 16S ribosomal RNA". It matches the Rfam family "Bacterial small subunit ribosomal RNA", at positions 332 to 800 of the family's 1533-position model. The record is from RNAcentral.
UACACUCCUACGGGAGGCAACAGUGGGGAAUAUUGGACAAUGGGCGCAAGCCUGAUCCAGCCAUGCCGCGUGAGUGAUGAAGGCCCUAGGGUUGUAAAGCUCUUUCACCGGUGAAGAUAAUGACGGUAACCGGAGAAGAAGCCCCGGCUAACUUCGUGCCAGCAGCCGCGGUAAUACGAAGGGGGCUAGCGUUGUUCGGAUUUACUGGGCGUAAAGCGCACGUAGGCGGACUAUUAAGUCAGGGGUGAAAUCCCGGGGCUCAACCCCGGAACUGCCUUUGAUACUGGUAGUCUUGAGUUCGAGAGAGGUGAGUGGAAUUCCGAGUGUAGAGGUGAAAUUCGUAGAUAUUCGGAGGAACACCAGUGGCGAAGGCGGCUCACUGGCUCGAUACUGACGCUGAGGUGCGAAAGCGUGGGGAGCAAACAGGAUUAGAAACCCUGGUAGUCCCAUGA